UAACCAGGAUUUCCCUAGUAACGGCGAGCGAACCGGAAAUAGCCCAGCUUGAAAAUCGCGGCGCUUCGCGCCGGGAGUUGUAGUCUGGAGAAGCGUCCUCUGCAGCGGACCAGACCCAAGUUCCCUGGAAAGGGACGUCAGAGAGGGUGACAACCCCGUCGAGUCUGGACCCUGUUGCUCAACGAGGCGCUGUCGACGAGUCGGGCUGUUUGGGAAUGCAGCCCUAAGUGGGUGGUAAAUUCCAUCCAAGGCUAAAUAUUGGCAAGAGACCGAUAGCGAACAAGUACCGCGAGGGAAAGAUGAAAAGGACUUUGAAAAGAGAGUUAAAAAGUGCUUGAAAUUGCUGGGAGGGAAGCGAAUGGAAGCUGCGGGUGUGCCCCGGUUGGAUGUGGAACGGCCCUUCAAAAAGGCUGGUCCGCCGCUCAACGCGGGGCACUGGUCAGCGUGGGCCAUCCCGGCGGGACAAGAGCAGGGUGCAAGUGUCCUGCCUAUGCCGUUGGGGUGGCCGAGGAACGAAGCGCGCGGGGCUCCUCUGGUGCCCCGUGGGACUUCUUGUCCCAACUGCGCGCUCGGGACGCUGGCGUAUUGAGCUCUUCAUCCGACCCGUCUUGAAACACGGACCAAGGAGUCUAACAUGUAUGCGAGCCGGUGGGCGGCAAACCCAUUGAGGCGCAAGUAAACUGACAGGUGGGAUCCCUCCUCAAAAAAGGGAGCACCAUCGACCGACCGUGAUCUUCUGUGAAAGGUUUGAGUGUGAGCAUACCUGUUGGGACCCGAAAGAUGGUGAACUAUGCCUGAGCAGGGCGAAGCCAGAGGAAACUCUGGUGGAGGCUCGUAGCGAUACUGACGUGCAAAUCGUUCGUCAGACUUGGGUAUAGGGGCGAAAGACUAAUCGAACCAUCUAGUAGCUGGUUCCCUCCGAAGUUUCCCUCAGGAUAGCUGGAGCUCGUGUGACAGUUUUAUCAGGUAAAGCGAAUGAUUAGAGGCAUCGGGGGUGUAACACCCUCGACCUAUUCUCAAACUUUAAAUAGGUAGCCGCCGGGG
RNAcentral lists this ribosomal RNA (1044 nucleotides) under Timmiella anomala. RNAcentral describes it as "eukaryotic LSU rRNA". It matches the Rfam family "Eukaryotic large subunit ribosomal RNA", at positions 66 to 1085 of the family's 3401-position model. Lineage: Eukaryota; Viridiplantae; Streptophyta; Bryopsida; Pottiales; Pottiaceae. The record is from RNAcentral.